This 253-nucleotide ribosomal RNA is filed under the name uncultured bacterium. RNAcentral's name for it is "partial 16S ribosomal RNA". It matches the Rfam family "Bacterial small subunit ribosomal RNA", at positions 524 to 776 of the family's 1533-position model. The record is from RNAcentral.
GACGAAGGGUGCGAGCGUUGUUCGGAAUUAUUGGGCGUAAAGCGCGUGUAGGCUGUUUUAUAAGUCUGAUGUGAAAGCCCCGGGCUCAACCUGGGAAGUGCAUUGGAUACUGUAAGACUUGAGUACAGGAGAGGGCAGUGGAAUUCCUAGUGUAGGAGUGAAAUCCGUAGAUAUUAGGAGGAACACCGGUGGCGAAGGCGGCUGCCUGGACCGAUACUGACGCUGAGACGCGAAAGCGUGGGGAGCAAACAGG